RNAcentral lists this long non-coding RNA (340 nucleotides) under Homo sapiens (human). Its description in RNAcentral is "long non-coding RNA NONHSAT168804". Lineage: Eukaryota; Metazoa; Chordata; Mammalia; Primates; Hominidae. The record is from RNAcentral.
CUACCUGCCUGGCUUUGUCAGCCUUCAGGGUCUCCAUGUCACUCUGCAGCUGCUCCUUCUCUCUGAUCAGCUCCUCACUGAGGGUCUCCAGAUCUUGGUUGCUCUGCUUUUCUCUCUCCAGCUGGGUUUGUAACUUUUCAAUCUGCAGAACCUUCUUGCUGAGCUGGUGGUUCUCCUUCUCCAGCUCCCCGCACUUGAGGCCGCUCUCCUCCAACACCAGGGACGCGUCCCGCAGCCCCUGGAUGGUGCUCUGGAGGCUCUGAUUCUCCUUCUCCAGCUUCAGGAUGCGGCUGGACGCACAUUCGUUCAGCUCAAACACAAACGACUUCCUGGAGGCUGA